Long non-coding RNA from Drosophila persimilis, 1117 nucleotides. RefSeq lists it as uncharacterized. The transcript is spliced from 5 exons. The record is from RefSeq and is a predicted model, not a curated record. NCBI's taxonomy places the organism in Eukaryota, Metazoa, Arthropoda, Insecta, Diptera, Drosophilidae.
UCCAUGCAGAACUGCUGACUAUAGCGAUACGAUGAAGCUGCUAAGGAAGCAAAUUGUUGGGAUAUGGAUGCCUAUCGAAAUAAGUCUUUAAUCGAGGUUUAGAACCCAUUGUUUUAAUCCAUUUGUGCUGGACACAUCACUUGUUCUCUUGCCACUACUCGCGAACAGCGCCCUUACGGUUCUGAAGCGCAUAUUACGAUGAUCUUCUUAUCGCUUGGUCACAAAAACAGUCGUUCUUGCUUUUUUGCGCAAUGUGCAAAAAACAAAAAUAAAAAAAAGCAAAACAUCCCAAUCCAUGUUUGCGAUUGUGUCCGUCUAACGUUUUGCCUGUGUAUGCGUCACGGGAGGUCUUUGCCUGCUUAACAUGCCAUCCGUCCAUCCAUCGCCAUUAUCACCAUUGCAGAUGAUGGUAGAAUCCGAUUUACACGUGCCAUCAAAAGUGCUGCACUCUGCUAUAUGUAUGUAUGUAUUUAACGAAUCGUAUAAUUCAUUGAGAAUAGCCCGAGGCGCAGCUCUAAGUGUUCAACGAGCGCUCCGGGUAAUCAAUUCAAGAAAUUAUAUGACCACCGUCGGUGGCCUCAACGACCGCAUUCCGGAUCACGACCCGGAAAAAGAGUACGAAACAGUAGUAUGCUUCUACAGAAUUGCAGAUGAGUCUCAAUGCGUCUCUCGAAAGUCUUCUCACACUCGCACUCUACUUAACCAUUCGGUGUGCAGUGCGAACCGAUUAUACUGAUGAGUGAAACCAGGAUGAAGAUCUGCAAGCUGGUCCUGGCAUAAUGACAGAUAAAGCAAACAAAAUCGACAUAUAUGUAAAUGGAGAGAGAAAAAUGUAUAGAAAGUACUGCUGGUCCGAUUUGGCUCAAAUUUUGUUGGACGCAUUUGACAGUCUGUUGCUGCAAAUGAGAGUCUAGAUAUCAGAGUAUCCGUCACAAGGGGCUUUGCAAAUUUCGCCCCGCCCCUUCCGCCUCCACAAAGGAUGAAAAUCUGUGAUAUCCACAAUUUUGAAGAUACGAGAAAACUGCAAACGUAGAAUCGUUAGAAAACAAUCGUAUCUAGACCAUGGACUGCCGAAUCUGGAUCAGAUCGGAUUAUUAUAGCCAGAAAGAACCAAUCA